AUGGGCGAGAGGAGGAGGCGCGCGAGCGCCGUCGCCGGCGGGGACGGCCGGGGCGAGGAGAAGGCCGCGGCACCGGCGCCUGCGCCGGCGCCGACGGUGUGGUUCGCGCUCAAGAAGUCGCUGCAGUGCCGGUCCCAGUCGUCGGAGGUGCACGUGCCCAAGCCCAAGGCAAGCUCCAGCUCCAGCGCCGGCGGGCACCUCUCGUCCAUCAUGACCAAGCGCGCGGCGCGGUCGGGGUGCUCGCGCUCCAUAGCCAACCUGCGGGACGUCAUCCACGGGAGCAAGCGCCACCCGGGCCAGCCGCCCAGCUGCAGCCCGCGGUCCAUCGGCAGCAGCGAGUUCCUCAACCCCAUCGCCCACGAGGUGGUGCUCAGCACCAACUCCCGCUGCGAGCUCAAGAUCACCGGCUUCGGCGGGUGCGGCGGCCUCGGGGCGGCGGGGGGAGGAGCGCCCGCGCACGAGGCGGAGGGCGGCGGCGACGGCGGCGUCGUGUCGUCCUUCGUGGGCACGCUCCGCCCCGGCACGCCGGGGCCCGGCUGGAGCCACGGCCUGCAGUACAGCGGCUCGUGCCGGGCGGGCAGCAUGCGGUGCACGCCGCCGAGGUCGCCGAACCCGCUCCUGGACAGGGACGGCGCCCCCGCGGCCACGGCCCACCGGGCGUCCUGCGAGGUCGACGCCGCCAAGACCGGCGGCGCCAAGGGGUCCGGCGGCCUCAGCUGCCACAGGUGCGCCGAGCAGUUCGGCAAAUGGGAGGCGCUGGAGGCGCACCACCUAUCCAAACAUGCAGUGACGGAGCUGGUGGAGGGGGACUCGUCGCGGAAGAUCGUGGAGAUCAUCUGCCGGACGAGCCUGCUCAAGUCGGAGAGCAGCUGCGUGCGGAUCGAGCGCGUGUUCAAGGUGCACAACACGCAGCGGACGCUGGCCCGCUUCGAGGAGUACCGGGAGGCGGUGAAGCUCAAGGCGAGCAAGCUGGCCAAGAAGCACCCGCGCUGCCUCGCCGACGGCAACGAGCUGCUGCGCUUCCACGGCGCCACGCUCGCCUGCGCGCUCGGCUCCGCCGGCGCCAGCAGCCUCUGCGCCUCCGACAAGUGCGCCGUCUGCCGCAUCAUCCGCCACGGCUUCUCCUCCUCCAGCUCCAAGAAGGACGGCAAGGCCGGCGCCGGCGUCGGCGUCUUCACCACGUCCACCAGCGGCCGGGCCUUCGAGUCCGCCGACGAGGAAGACGACCCGGCAGCCGCGGCCGGCGGCGCGCGGAGGGCGCUGCUGGUGUGCAGGGUGAUCGCCGGGAGGGUGCACAAGCCGCUGGAGAACGUGAGGGAGUUCGUGGGGCAGACCGGGUUCGACUCGCUGGCCGGCAAGGUGGGGCCCUACGCCAACAUCGAAGAGCUCUACCUGCUGAACCCGAGGGCGCUGCUGCCGUGCUUCGUGGUCAUCUGCAAGCCUUGA
Molecule: ribosomal RNA, 1446 nt
Filed under: Triticum aestivum (bread wheat)
Lineage: Eukaryota; Viridiplantae; Streptophyta; Magnoliopsida; Poales; Poaceae
Description: partial small subunit ribosomal RNA
Source: RNAcentral